Molecule: ribosomal RNA, 477 nt
Filed under: uncultured marine eukaryote
Lineage: Eukaryota
Description: SSU rRNA
Rfam family: Eukaryotic small subunit ribosomal RNA
Source: RNAcentral
UUGCGGUUAAAAAGCUCGUAGUUGGAUUUCUGUUGAGGAUGACCGGUCCGCUCUUUGAGCGCGUAUCUGGUUCAGCCUUGGCAUCCUCUUGGGGGAACGCUUCUGUGCUUGAUUGCAUGGGGCGGUAUUCAAGACUUUUACUUUGAGGAAAUUAGAGUGUUCACUGCAAGCGUUAGCAAUUGAAUACAUUAGCAUGGAAUAAUAAUAUAGGACCUUGGUACUAUUUUGUUGGUUUCUAGAACUAAGGUAAUGAUUAAUAGGGACAAUUGGGGGCAUUCGUAUUAACGCGUCAGAGGUGGAAUUCUUAGAUUGCGUUACGACGAACUACUGCGAAAGCAUUUGCCAAGGAUGUUUUCAUUGAUCAAGAACGAAAGUAUGGGGAUCGAAGACGCUUAGAUACCGUCGUAGUCUAUACCAUAAACUAUGCCAACUAGAGAUUGGAGGUCGUUCUCUUUAUGACUCCUUCAGCACCUUAUG